Molecule: long non-coding RNA, 193 nt
Organism: Juglans microcarpa x Juglans regia
Lineage: Eukaryota; Viridiplantae; Streptophyta; Magnoliopsida; Fagales; Juglandaceae
Exons: 4
Source: RefSeq, a predicted model, not a curated record
ACAACUGAAAUGAUAAGAUAAUUACAUACAUAGUAGAUAAGUAUGAAUUUUAAAUUACAAAGAAUCUGAUCAUGGCUUAAUCUAAAAUGCAAAACUGAUGUAAGAAACACUAUCAUUAGUAAAUGUUUGAAUUGGAGGCAAGUUACAGUGUUGGUUCUAGCUUGACAUGCAACUCGGUUGUUGUUGUGUGGCU